Molecule: ribosomal RNA, 1078 nt
Filed under: uncultured eukaryote
Lineage: Eukaryota
Description: SSU rRNA
Rfam family: Eukaryotic small subunit ribosomal RNA
Source: RNAcentral
CAUGCAUGUCUAAGUAUAAGCAAUUAUACAGCGAAACUGCGAAUGGCUCAUUAUAUAAGUUAUCGUUUAUUUGAUAGUACCUUACUACUUGGAUAACCGUGGUAAUUCUAGAGCUAAUACAUGCUAAAAAUCCCGACUCCGGAAGGGAUGUAUUUAUUAGAUUAAAAACCAAUGCCCUCUGGGCUCCUUGGUGAUUCAUGAUAACUGUACGAAUCGCAUGGCCUUGCGCCGGCGAUGGCUCAUUCAAAUUUCUUCCCUAUCAACUUUCGAUGUUUGGGUAUUGGCCAAACAUGGUUUCAACGGGUAACGGAGGGUUAGGGCUCGACCCCGGAGAAGGAGCCUGAGAAACGGCUACUACAUCCAAGGAAGGCAGCAGGCGCGCAAAUUACCCAAUGCUGACACAGCGAGGUAGUGACAAUAAAUACUGAUACAGGGCUCUUUCGGGUCUUGUAAUUGGAAUGAGUACAAUUUAAAUCCCUUAACGAGGAACAAUUGGAGGGCAAGUCUGGUGCCAGCAGCCGCGGUAAUUCCAGCUCCAAUAGCGUAUAUUAAAGUUGUUGUGGUUAAAAAGCUCGUAGUUGAACCUUGGGCCUGGCUGGCCGGUCCGCCUCACCGCGUGUACUGGUCCGGCCGGGCCUUUCCCUCUGUGGAACCCCAUGCCCUUCACUGGGUGUGGCGGGAAACAGGACUUUUACUUUGAAAAAAUUAGAGUGCUCCAGGCAGGCCUAUGCUCGAAUACAUUAGCAUGGAAUAAUAGAAUAGGACGUGUGGUUCUAUUUUGUUGGUUUCUAGGACCGCCGUAAUGAUUAAUAGGGACAGUCGGGGGCAUCAGUAUUCAAUUGUCAGAGGUGAAAUUCUUGGAUUUAUUGAAGACUAACUACUGCGAAAGCAUUUGCCAAGGAUGUUUUCAUUAAUCAGGAACGAAAGUUAGGGGAUCGAAGACGAUCAGAUACCGUCGUAGUCUUAACCAUAAACUAUGCCGACUAGGGAUCGGACGGUGUUAUUUUUUGACCCGUUCGGCACCUUACGAGAAAUCAAAGUGCUUGGGCUCCAGGGGGAGUAUGGUCGCAAGGCUGAA